This 8333-nucleotide long non-coding RNA is filed under the name Capsicum annuum. RNAcentral's name for it is "long non-coding RNA (CANN_LNC012655)". Lineage: Eukaryota; Viridiplantae; Streptophyta; Magnoliopsida; Solanales; Solanaceae. The record is from RNAcentral.
CCAAUAAACAUUCCCAUGCAAUCCGAUUAUGUUCCUCAUAUACAUGCAUCACCUGAGUAAUCUUCCGUACCUCCUCUAAAAACAACUGUGGAUCCUCAUCAGACUUGGACCCAUAGAAUUCUAGUGGAUUCAUCCGCAUGAAGUCAUGGAUCCUGGCAGCAGCUGAAUUACCUCCCUGCUACUGUGGAGCUGGGGCUGGGUUGGCCUGAACAUUUGCAGUAACAGCUUGGGCCAGCGCUUAAAAGGCUGCCCAAAAUUCAGCAUGAGACAUAUUUUCAUUCAAUGGGUCAGCAGGUUAAGGUUGCUGACCAUCAUUAUUUCUUCACGCUCGACGUGGAGGCAUAUUUCUGAAAGAGAAGAGCACGAAUCAAUAGCAGAGAGAGACACUUUAAGCACGAUAGACCUCUGAAAGAAAGAAUCACACUUUUUCCUAAAACUUCUUGUAGCCUAUUGCUCAUAGAUAUGGCGCGCUACACACCGAUGAACAAGACUCUACUUAACGCGGUUUGUCAGACCCACUAGGACACCUUAAAACCUUAGGCUCUGAUACCAAGUUUGUAACACCCCAAAAAUGGGUCUCGGAGCAUCACACGGUGCUUGAGGCUAUGAGUAGUCCCAAGCUAACCCUUGGACCCAUUUUUAUUUAGUUCAACACGAAUCAAUGGGGUUUUCAUAAAUAACCCUCAAAUAUCAACACAGUAAUCAUCAUCCAAGAAUAAAAGAAUUUCAGAAAGAUAAUAAAAUACGACUUAUUAGUCAACUCCCAACAUCUAUACUAGUUUGACAAGCCUCUAAGAAAAUUAAUAAAACCAGAGAGCCAUUAAGACAUGCCCCAACUAACUCAUACUCAGUUAUCAAAUGUAAACAAUUCUGUGGAACCAACAUCAGACAUCACGUCCUCAGAAUAUGAGGACUCACCACGAUAGAGGAUGUAGAACAGCGUGCCCAAAGAAUCACUGUCGAACCUAGAACUAAGCACCUAAACCUACAAAUCGAGGAAAUCCAGCCCACAUCUGAAGAUGUGGGUCAGUACCAUGGAAAGGAAUCGAGUAUAUGGGGGUGUAUGCAGUUUUAUAAACAUAAUCAUCAUAAAUAUUUAUAAAAAAUAAGCAGGAUGUAUGAAAGACUCACAUAGCCCGAAGAAAAUCAUCAUAAUCAUGAGAGGAUGAAAUAAGUACAAUAACACAUGUGAGUCAUCAUAUAAUUUGUCAAUCACUUUCAGUUCAUCAAGAAUAUCAAUUCUCAUAAUGUAAAUAUCAUUUAAAUCUUUCGAAAGAAUAACUUUCACAAUUCCACUUUCAAAUCACUUCACCAUUCACCAUAGACACAAGGAAACACACACACACUGAGAGAUCCUCUACAUGGAGUCCAACGUACAACCCACGUUAGGGAGAGCCGUCCUAUCCUUGCCAUCGGAGUAGGACUAUCAAUAUCAAAUCCACACAAACUAGUGAUCACUAUAUAAAUCAGCCUCAAGCUCACUCCUACGAGGGCAUGUAGUUCUAGGGAAGUAAGGUCGCUUUAUACCUCCCACUCGGUGCUAAAGAUUUCUCCCGAACUUAGCUCAGAUCAUUUCAAAGACAAUCAACAACAAAACAAUUUUAGUAAUAUAUAAAUAUACAUCGGGAGCCAUCAUACUUCCCAUCUAUCAAAAUCAACCACAUUGUAGAUUUCUAUCACACUCGAGUUCAAAACAACUCUAUUAAGAAUAAAAGGUCAAAUCAUUCAAAAUAUCUCAAAUAUUCAACAUCAAGGUGCUUAUAACAUAUACUUUCUCAAAAAGCACAAUUUCCAAUGGGGAUUCAUGACCCAAAUAUCAAAAUCAUGAUAAAUAAUGUUCAAGAUCCAUGUGUUAUAUCUCCACACAUGUAAAUUCAUCUUUCAAAAUCAUAAACAUCAAGAUUUCAUAAUAAUCAUCAUAAUAUAUGGGUUCGUGCUUCAAAUUCAUAAAAGUCAAAUAAAAAUCAUGCUUUUGUAAAAAAAAUUACUUUUGGGCACAAAAACGAAAGAGAGUUCUUGUUGAAAAACUCCACAUACCUUGAACGAUGAACUUUAGAUCGAUACUCAUUUUUGAGAUAUUAAUCGUGCCUUUGAAUGAUGGUUCUUGGAGUUCUUGAACUAGGAACUUAGAAUCUUGAAUAAAUUUGCAGAAUUAGUGGUAAACUUUGGAGGUUCUUGAAGUUGGAUGUAAGAGCUUAGAGUUUUCUUUUUGAGGGUAAUUUGAUGAAAUAUAACAUAUAAUGCUUCUAAUAGGCUUUAAUAUAGGGUUUGGACAGAUUUUGGGUGAGGGGGAAUGACCAAAACGCCCCUAAAAAUUAAAUAAUUCUCGAAUCUGUCCUUUAGUGGACUAUUUUGAUAGUCUGAAGUAGAUCAAUCAUAAUGUUUUACUUCAAUAUACAAAUUGGAUAAAACUAAUUUCAUUAGAAAGAGGACUCUCAUAUCUUUCCAUUGAUAUAUAGUAUCUCACCCAUAUCAUUAUGUACGAGGAGUUAUGAUCGUUUGAAGUUGACCAAAAAAUUUGCUUUUGAUAGACUGAAGUAGAUCGACCAUAACUUUUUACUCCGAUGGACAAAUUAGAUGAAACCAAUUUCAUUGGAAAGAGGACUCACAGAUAUUUCCGUUCAUAUAUAGUAGAUCACCCAGAUCAUUAUGUACAAGGAGUUAUGAUCAUUUAAAGUUGGAGCAAAAGUAUGCCAAGUCUCAGUACUUUUUCCUGCACAUUUUACUGUUCACUACUAUUCACGGUUCGAUCGGAAUAUUCAUAACUCGUCCUGCACAUUUUACUGUUCACUACUAUUCAUGGUUCGAUCGGAAUAUUCAUAACUCGUCGCUCGGGUGUCCAUUUUGGAUGAUCCAGAUAUCAUUGGAAAGCUUAUUCAAUACUCUACGCAAUGGUGGGUCAUAUCUAAGACAUUCCGCAUGAAAAAUUUAUAAUUCAUUCUAGAAGAUAGAACCCAACACGUUUACACACAAAAUUUCAAAAAAAAAAAUUCUCGGGGUAUUACAAUGAGUCAGCUAGUCGACUCACAUUCUACCUAUAUUGAGAAACUAGAACAACAAAUGAACUAGUUAUCUACAGUAUUCAACUAGAGAAAAAGCUGAACAUUAUCGAGUGAUACAAUGCAAAAUCCUUGAAAUGAUGGCUCUUGCAUGGCGAUUACCACUUGAAGUGGUAAAGUAUUAUCGGGCCCUUUUGUUGGAAAAUCUUUGAUUGAUGAUGGGAUGGAGUUAGAUGCAGAAGUAGAAGAAAACCAUCCAGUAGAGACUAAGAAGCUGGAUAAUGAUAAGAUUUUAUCUAAACAUCAGCAGGUUGAUGAGUUAGAUAAAGAUAAGGUAAAGGAUGGAUGACACAAAAUUUAGCAAGUUCCUGGCAAUGCUAAAAUAGUUGAUGGUGAAUGUGUCUUUAGUGGAGGCAUUGGAACAAAUGUCUGGCUAUGCUAAGUUCAUGAAGGAUCUUGUGACAAAGAAAAGAAUAGUAAGGUACGAACCAGCGGACAAACUUCACCAUUGUAGAGCUAUUUCUACAAGAUCCUUGGUGCAGAAGAAAAUGGACCCAGGAGCUUUCACUAUCCCUUGUACUAUUGGAUUACUUAAUUUUUCUAAGGCCUUGUGUGACCUUUGGGAAAGUAUUAAUCUGAUGCCACUGGCAGUUUACAAGAAGUUGGGUUUGGGAGAUACUACACCCACCAAUAUGCAACUUGUAAUGCCAAACAGAUUAGUGAAGCGGCUAGUCGAAAUAUUAUAUAAUGUGCUUUCAAAAGUGGCUAGUUUUAUUUUCCCUAUUGAUUUUUUCAUCUUGGAUUGUGAGGUGGACAUUGAGGUACCCAUAAUCUUGGGUAGACCUUUCCUUGCAAUCGGGAGUGAGUUGAUUGACUUGCAAACUAAUAAGCUGAAGUUUAGGCUCAAUGAGAAGGUGGUCAUUUUUUAUGUUUGAAAGUCAAUAAAGUAGCAAAAGGAGAUAAGUGUAUUCUUGAUCAUUGAUAUAUAUUAUGAGAUAAACAUGAGGUACCGAUUGAGGAUAAAUAUGGCAUGGAAACAUUGGUUGCUAUGUUGAUAAAAUUUGCUAGUGAGGGUAUCGAAGAAUAUGAAAAGAUGGUGUGUGCAUUAACUGGGAUAGGAUCAUAUUCAUAUGCUCCCAAGAAGCUAGACUUGGACCUUAAAAUUUGCCUAACACCACCGGCUAAGCCAUCUAUUAAAGAGCCACCGACGUUGGAACUUAAUGAGUUGCCAGGCCAUCUGCGCUAUGCAUUCUUAGUAGUGAUAACACUUUGCCGGACAUUAUUGCAGCAGAUUUGGUAAAGCUGCAGGUUAAGGCCCUUAUUUUUGUUCGUAGGAGGUACAAAAAGCUAUCGGAUGGAUGAUUGCAGAUAUUAUUAGUAUCCCUCCAAGCAUAUGUACCCAUAAGAUCUAGCUAGAAGAUGAUUGCAGAUCGACCUUUGAGCAUCAAUGUAGACUAAACCUACCUAUGCAAGAAGUGGUGAAAAAAGAGAUUGUAAAGUAGCUUGAUCCAGGGGUAGUGUACCCGAUCUCUAACAGUAAGUGGGUAAGUCCAGUACAGUACGUGCCCAAGAAAGGAGGUGGACUGUGGGUGAUAAUAAGAAGAAUGAGAUAAUUCUGCUUAGGCCAAUAAAUAGGUGGUGAGUUUGCAUAGACUACUGAAAUUUGAAUUCAUGGAUGUUAAAAUAUCAUUUUUCAAUGCCCUUCAUGGAUCAAAUGCUUGAUCGCUUAGAAUGAAGGGGUUGGUAUUGCUUUUUGGAUAGAUAUUCGGGAUACAACCAGAAUAGGGUCCACUUGCUAAAUAAGACAUCUUGUGGUUUGGGUCCACUUGCCAUGCAAGAUAAGAUAGCUCGUGAUUAGGUUCCACUUGUUAUACAAGAUACAACGGCUUAUGGUUUGGGUCCACUUUCCAUAUAAGACAUAACGGCUUGAGGUUAGGGUCCUCUUUCUAUAAUAGAUGAGACAGCUAGAGGUUAGGUUCCUUUUGCUUAAUAUAACCUAAAGGUUCAAACGUUCUUAACUAGAAGGGUGGAAGGUUGGAGUCCUUCACUACAUCUUUCAUGAUUGAGUGUUUUCAAAAAGGCAUGCUAAGCCUUGUUUUUUCCUUUUUGGCACGUUAUGAAUCUAUAUAUGUGUACGUAUAUAAAUAUGGUUGCAUAUGAUGGUUUGACUUGGUAUUAAAUAAUGGUACUAGUUUAUCCUUAUCCUUGAGUUACAUGUUAGUGCUCCAACUGUUAACCAUCUCCGAACGUUAUGUGCCCACGUGACAUAGGGGCCAAAGCUUCUUCUUCUCUUCUUGCGUAGUGACAGGUGUUCGAGUGGUUCAUGUGUUGACAUUGAAGUGGUGAACUUCCAUAUUUCAGAAGACAUACAUUUUAUAGUCUUUCAAUCUUAUGCUAUAGAUUUGUUUUAGACUUGGCUUAUGGUUAUUAUCAGGGGCAUGUCCCGAAAUAUUAUAGACAUCGGAUUUGUAGAGGCUUUGUGUAUGAUUGUGGACUUGGGUAUAUUGGUUAGUAUAUUGAUGUAAAUGAAUUGAUUAGACAUCUCUUAAGUCAUAAUCAUUAGUCUUUUUUCCGCUACCUUAUUAUAUGUUCGGAGUUCAUCCGGCACUUGCCGUUUGAUAUGAUGGUUAGGUUGGGUUAAUGGGCAAUCUUCGAUCCUUGUUGGGCUUGAAAUGCCCAUUUGACAAGGCCCAAUUUUGGGUCGUGUCACCUACCUAGAUUAUUGCUACUUACUCCAAAAGAGGAGUAGUGACUAGGAAAAGAUAAUUACAACAGCGAUUUGAAUAUUAAUCGUCGAUCCAUGCUAAUAGGUAUUAUCUAAGUAAAAUCAUUAACUAACAUCUAAUAACUAGAGACCCAAAAGGUAAUAUUUAAUUGGGAUCAAGGAUAAGUGUUGGUAAGGUGACAUCUUGAGACUCAAAAGGUAAAGGGUGGAAUCCAUUAACUAGUCCAAAAGACAGUUGAUAGUACAUAACUUAUCAGAUUCUGCAUGCAAGAUAUCGGGUUGGUUCAAUAAAAGCACAAUAAGCCUAUUGAAUUGAGAAGUUAGGGAAAACAAAAUCCUACUGUUCAUCUACAACUUAUUACAACCAGAGUUGAUAUUUGUUAUUUGUUCGAUAUUACCACUAUAAUCCCCUAUUUACUUUUUCAGUUCUGCCCGUUGAUUACAAUAGUUAAGAGCCACAAUUCCAUGUAUUUCCUUGGGAUUCAACCCCAACCGUUGUUGGGCUACUAUAUUUGACAAAGAAUGCAUUAUCUUCAGAUUGAAGGUGUACCUUGGGCAUUAUUAGGGACAAUGCUAGAGAUGAGGAGAUAGAGGUCCAACAUUUUGUUAGAAAUGGAGAAUGGGAUAAAGAGUUGCUAUUAUCUCAACUGUCAGAAAAAAUGGUUGAUCUUAUCAUUAGAAAUAUUAAGGCUCUUAGGAAUGGUAACUCUAAUGAUCUCCCUUAGUGGAUGGGUGGUACUCAUGGCAUGUUCUUAGUUAAAACAACCUAGAAUCACAAGUAAGAGACAAGGAGAGAUUAUGAUUUCAUCUAGGCCAAAGGUUUGCCUUUUAAGGUGAAUUUUUUUUAUAUGGAGGUUGUAGAAAAGGAGAAUUGCAACUGAUGAUAACUUUAAAAGAAUGAGAAUAUAGUUGGUAUCAAGGUGUUGGUGUUGUGAGGAGAAUGUCAAGGAAAUAAUGUCUUAUCUAUUUCUAACAUCCCCUGUAGCCAUGAGGCUAUGAAGGCAGUUUGCUUAUUUUGCAAGUAUUCAAGUGGAGAACAUGCAACUUCAAUAGCUUAUAAUAGUUUGGUGGAAGUAAGCACCAACAAAAUUAAAGGUGUUAUAUAGAGCAAUACCAACUAUAAUAAUUUGGACUCUAUAGAAGAGAAGAAAUUAUAUUAAACAUGGAGGAACUGUACAGUUCACUGGAAUGGUCAUACAGAUAUAUGAUGUGGUGAAAAAGGUUAUCAAAAUACUAUAUCCCUGGAUAAAGAGUGAGCAUGGACAUGGCUAGAAGUUAUUGCCAAGAUAAAAGCCCACAAGCCCAAGUUGCACUAUCACAGUGGAAUUUGGAGGAAGCCAGAGAACCAGCAGGUGAAGUGAAACACUGAUGGAGCUUGCAGAGGAAAUCCUGGGAUAAGUUCCUGUGGUUUCUGCCUAAGGGAUAACAAAGUAGAUCUAAUAUAUGCAAGAGCAAAGGGAUUGGGAGCAGGCACUAACACAGAAGCUAAAUAAUUAGCAAUAAAAGAAGCCUUAGAGUACUGUUAUGAAAAGAACAUAAUUGACUUUAUUCUUGAAAUAGACUCCUUUGGCCUCAGAAAAAUGAUUCUACAACAGUGGAAAGUGCCUUAGGAAUUAGCAGAGCUAUUUGAUAAGGUUAGGAAGAAUGGACAGAAGAUGAAUGUUAUAGUCAUGCACAUAUUCUAGGAAGGAAACACUGUGGAAGAUUCCUUAGCCAAUGAGCUGAUUGAAUCAAAAAUGACAUAGGAAUUCCAUAAUUUUCAUGAACUUCCAACACAUACAAAAAUACUGAUUAACAUAGAUAAAGCAUAGAUCCCAAACACCAGGGUGAAAAGACAAAGAUAAUACCACAAUGAGAAACAAAAGAAGAAUCACAAAUACAAGAAAAUAGGAAAUUCAUUCAAGUUGUAAGAGCAUGGAUGUACCAAUAAUAUUUACAAAGCUACAGUUAUCCAAAAACACUAGCACGCCAUAAUUAAUGAAAGAGCAUGCCUAGAAGAAGACAUUACAACAGUGCCAAUAAAAGUUAGGACUAAAAGUUUUAGCUAUCAAAAACCUGCACCAAAAAUAGAGGUUUUUGGGGCGUUGCACUACCAUGGAUCACCAGUUGUAGAUGCAGAAGAAUCGAGACUGCCACAAUCUCAAUCCCACCUGAAAUGUGGAUAAAUAGGUCAGAAAUGGAGUAAAUGAAAAAGGAAAAGAAAAGACAAGAGAGAAAACAUAUUGGUAUCUCAUGAUCUGGUGGAAAUGGUAUUCCUUCUAUGGUUCCUUGGGGUUAAAACCCAACCACCUACGAGAUCAAAAGUUAGGUUAAUAAAUGAAAAGAAAAGAGAGAAGAAGGAAAAAGAGAGAAGCUCACUAUGAAAUAGUGAAGAGGGUAGACAGAGCUCAACAAUCACCAUUGUAGGCUCAUGCUUGAACACGACCAAAAGGAGGAAGAACUUCAGCUUGCAAGUUCCACCGGCAACACUUCGACAGCAUGGUUCAACUCACAAGGCAGCAGCAAGUAGAAAGAAAGAGUACUUUGUACUUGAAGAAUAAAGGCAGAUAUUUAUACUACUUUAGGAAACGUUUUAUUUUCCUCUUUAUUUUGGAUCGAGUUCUAUUUUG